UGGGGAAUAUUGCGCAAUGGGGGCAACCCUGACGCAGCCAUGCCGCGUGAAUGAAGAAGGCCUUCGGGUUGUAAAGUUCUUUCGGUAGCGAGGAAGGUGGUUAGUUUAAUAGGCUAGCCAAUUGACGUUAACUACAGAAGAAGCACCGGCUAACUCCGUGCCAGCAGCCGCGGUAAUACGGAGGGUGCGAGCGUUAAUCGGAAUAACUGGGCGUAAAGGGCACGCAGGCGGACUUUUAAGUGAGGUGUGAAAGCCCCGGGCUUAACCUGGGAAUUGCAUUUCAGACUGGGAGUCUAGAGUACUUUAGGGAGGGGUAGAAUUCCACGUGUAGCGGUGAAAUGCGUAGAGAUGUGGAGGAAUACCGAAGGCGAAGGCAGCCCCUUGGGAAUGUACUGACGCUCAUGUGCGAAAGCGUGGGGAGCAAACA
RNAcentral lists this ribosomal RNA (427 nucleotides) under uncultured bacterium. RNAcentral's name for it is "bacterial SSU rRNA". It matches the Rfam family "Bacterial small subunit ribosomal RNA", at positions 355 to 774 of the family's 1533-position model. The record is from RNAcentral. RNAcentral also lists the same sequence under 1 other name.